RNAcentral lists this ribosomal RNA (459 nucleotides) under uncultured bacterium. RNAcentral describes it as "partial 16S ribosomal RNA". It matches the Rfam family "Bacterial small subunit ribosomal RNA", at positions 338 to 795 of the family's 1533-position model. The record is from RNAcentral.
CCUACGGGAGGCAGCAGUGAGGAAUAUUGGUCAAUGGGAGAGAUCCUGAACCAGCCAAGCCGCGUGAGGGAAGACGGCCCUAUGGGUUGUAAACCUCUUUUGUCGGAGAACAAAACCCGGGACGUGUCCCGGACUGCGUGUAUCCGAAGAAAAAGCAUCGGCUAACUCCGUUCCAGCAGCCGCGGUAAUACGGAGGAUGCGAGCGUUAUCCGGAUUUAUUGGGUUUAAAGGGUGCGUAGGCGGUCCGUUAAGUCAGCGGUAACAUUGCGGGGCUCAACCCCGUCGAGCCGUUGAAUCUGGCCGACGUGAGUUGGCGAGAAGUACGCGGAAUGCGCGGUGUAGCGGUGAAAUGCAUAGAGAUCGCGCAGAACUCCGAGUGCGAAGGGAGCGGACCGGCGCCAGACCGACGCUGAGGCACGAAAGCGUGGGGAUCGAACAGGAUUAGAUACCCUGGUAGUC